UACGGAGGAUGCAAGCGUUAUCCGGAAUUAUUGGGCGUAAAGCGUCCGUAGGUGGUGGUUCAAGUCUGCUGUCAAAAACUGGGGCUUAACCCCAGGAAGGCGGUGGAAACUGAACUGCUAGAGUGUGGUAGGGGCAGAGGGAAUUCCCGGUGUAGUGGUGGAAUGCGUAGAUAUCGGGAGGAACACCAGUGGCGAAGGCGGUUACCUGGAGCUUUGCUGACGCUGAUGCGCGAAAGCGUGGGGAGCGAUCCGG
Molecule: ribosomal RNA, 253 nt
Filed under: uncultured bacterium
Lineage: Bacteria
Description: partial 16S ribosomal RNA
Rfam family: Bacterial small subunit ribosomal RNA
Source: RNAcentral